RNAcentral lists this ribosomal RNA (140 nucleotides) under uncultured eukaryote. RNAcentral describes it as "partial 18S ribosomal RNA". It matches the Rfam family "Eukaryotic small subunit ribosomal RNA", at positions 1299 to 1458 of the family's 1831-position model. The record is from RNAcentral.
UGGUGGAGUGAUUUGUCUGGCUAAUUCCGUUAACGAACGAGACCUUAACCUGCUAAAUAGUUACGCAUAACUUCGGUUAGGCGGGCAACUUCUUAGAGGGACUUUGUGUGUCUAACGCAAGGAAGUUUGAGGCAAUAACA